AUGGCUCAAGGGGUGGCUGCAGGCGGAGGAUCAAGCACGGCUGCGGGCGCCGGAGCAAGCACCGCGGCGGAUAGCAACCCAGGCACGGCGGACAGCGGCCAAGGCGGGGCUGGGGAUGGCUCAUCGGUGAGGUCCGCUGCUGGCGGCCAUGGCGCGGCUAUGCAGCACUUGCCGAUGAGCUCAGCUGCGGGCGCAGGCCAUGGUGAUGUUGCGGGCGGUGCAGGCCAUGGCGAUGCUGCAAGGUUGGGCGUGGAUGCAGGCUUGGGCCACGGUGCGGCUGCAGACUUAGAAGGGAUGGAUCCAAAUUCUUGUUAUGUACUGAAAAUUAGAUUGCUUGGCAACCCAAAAAAAGCUAGAAAAGAGCCCAUGUGCUUUUAUUUCGAGAAGGUUAUUGAUUCCGACUUGACAAAUUAUGAAGAUUUGGUUGAAUCAAUUAUAGUGCAGUACCAACCACGUUAUUUGGAAGUUGCGCAUGUUCACUACUAUGAUGAAGUUCUGAAAAUGUUUCCAGAAAUAAAAUCAGACCAAGAGUUGAUGUAUAUGUUUGAGAAACAUGCUAAGUCAAAGAUGGUGCAGAUGUUCAUUGUAUAUUGGGAACCCUCUGAACCAUAUGAGCCUAUCAUUGAGUAUUAUAGUGAUGUGCAUAUCCAACCUAAGAACAACAUAGACCAAGAUGAUGAUAGUUAUCUUCGCAACCCAAUACCGGAGAAUGAACAUGUUGGGAUUGAUGAAGAGAAUAUGCAUUUGAAGGAAGAACCUAUAGCUCUAAAUAUGGUUCUUUUCCUGAUAAAGAAAAGGACCAAGACUAUGUUGCUGAUGGUGAGAGUGAGGAUGAGAGUGAGGAUGGGAGUGAGGAUGAGAGUAAGGAUGAGAGCGAGGACGAGACUGAAGUAG
RNAcentral lists this ribosomal RNA (894 nucleotides) under Triticum aestivum (bread wheat). RNAcentral describes it as "partial small subunit ribosomal RNA". Lineage: Eukaryota; Viridiplantae; Streptophyta; Magnoliopsida; Poales; Poaceae. The record is from RNAcentral.